AGUGAACGCUGGCGGUAGGCCUAACACAUGCCAGUCGAACGGCAGCACAGUAAGAGCUUGCUCUUACGGGUGGCGAGUGGCGGACGGGUGAGGAAUACAUCGGAAUCUACUUUUUCGUGGGGGAUAACGUAGGGAAACUUACGCUAAUACCGCAUACGACCUACGGGUGAAAGCAGGGGAUCUUCGGACCUUGCGCGAUUGAAUGAGCCGAUGUCGGAUUAGCUAAUUGGCGGGGUAAAGGCCCACCAAGGCGACGAUCCGUAGCUGGUCUGAGAGGAUGAUCAGACACACUGGAACUGAGACACGGUCCAGACUCCUACGGGAGGCAGCAGUGGGGAAUAUUGGACAAUGGGCGAAAGCCUGAUCCAGCCAUACCGCGUGGGUGAAGAAGGCCUUCGGGUUGUAAAGCCCUUUUGUUGGGAAAGAAAAGCAGCAGGUUAAUACCCCGCUGUUCUGACGGUACCCAAAGAAUAAGCACCGGCUAACUUCGUG
Molecule: ribosomal RNA, 492 nt
Filed under: uncultured bacterium
Lineage: Bacteria
Description: partial 16S ribosomal RNA
Rfam family: Bacterial small subunit ribosomal RNA
Source: RNAcentral